GGGACCGCGCGACGUCCAGGCGCAGCUGCCCACGCCGCGCACCGGACCCUCCUUCCCGGCGGCCGCGCCCGCCCGCGUGUGGGGUAGGAAUGCUCGGCAGCCGCGAGCUCUAUUUCUGUCCCGAGAUUAAGCCUGAAAAUCCCAGCCGCCUGGGGCAGCAGUGCAGGGCCUCGGGCGCCCUCUGCUGGGCCCUGGGGCCGCGUGCAGGCGGGCUGGCGGCCGGCUGUGGGUCCCUGGGAGCCUCGCACCCCUUCCGGCCCGGACUGUGCCCCUGGACCCCGCCCGGUCCCAGCCUGGCUCUCACGGCGCCCUGUCCUGCUGUCUCCCUCCCCUGUCCCGCGUCUGCCCUCCUGGCCAAUGACUGCCUGGCCAGAAACGGUGACCUCGGUGGCACGCCCCGUCAUAGGCACGCUGGAGGCUGAGGCAGGAGGGCCCCAAGUCCCAGCCCGGCUCCCCUGCGCCGCCUCCUGGGGGUCCUCCCUGCCUUGUGGAGUCCUGGUGACCCCAGAUGUCUGGGGCCGCAGUCCCCUCCUCCCCCUCGGCCCUGACGCUGCGUCCCUGUUGCUGCAGGUGCAGGUGCAGAGGGAGGAGCCGCGGCCGCCGCCGAGCAGCCAGACCAUCCCCGCCUUCUACUUCCCCCGCGGCCGCCCCGAGCACGCCGCCCACGUGGACGCCGUCAUCGCCAGGAUCGAGGGCGUCUUCGCGCAGUUCCCGAACGAGCGAGCCACGGCCGGCGACAUGGGCCAGGUGGCCAAGGCCUGCGGCUGCCCGCUCUACUGGAAGGGCCCGCUGUUCUACGGCGCCGGCGGGGAGCGCACCGGCUCGGUGUCCGUGCACAAGUUCGUGGCCAUGUGGAGGAAGUGAGUCGUGGGCGGGCGGGCGGGGAUCCCGG
This 892-nucleotide long non-coding RNA is filed under the name Chinchilla lanigera (long-tailed chinchilla). RNAcentral describes it as "lncRNA (ENSCLAG00000029039.1)". Lineage: Eukaryota; Metazoa; Chordata; Mammalia; Rodentia; Chinchillidae. The record is from RNAcentral.